UGUAAAUAGAAAACCCUUACCCUCUGGUGAGCGCUGCCUCGAAUGUGCUCCUCAGAGGGUAAUCAGGAGGUUGAUAAUGGAAUCGGUUGGUUAUGACAUUUUUUUGCAACUGCUCGCUCUGGGCUCGGUAUCGAUUUGACUCCACAAACAAGGCAGGCUACAAGAGUGCAUCACGCUCCUGUUAACCAAAGAACCCCCAGAGAUGAUCAAGGAGACAUUUUCUAGGUGCUGUACCAACACAGAGGAAUGCUGAGCAACUUCCGUAUUACUUUGGAGCUCCAGAGACACAAGUGAUGAGGAAGAGUGUUACACAGCGAUUUCUCAAGGACAUGGCAGUAGAGAGGAGGUCAGAUGAGUGGAUCAUAGACAGGUGUGGAGAUGGAGUGCAGAAGGAAAAAAUC
This 401-nucleotide long non-coding RNA is filed under the name Anser brachyrhynchus (Pink-footed goose). RNAcentral's name for it is "lncRNA (ENSABRG00000019702.1)". Lineage: Eukaryota; Metazoa; Chordata; Aves; Anseriformes; Anatidae. The record is from RNAcentral.